Molecule: ribosomal RNA, 498 nt
Filed under: uncultured bacterium
Lineage: Bacteria
Description: partial 16S ribosomal RNA
Rfam family: Bacterial small subunit ribosomal RNA
Source: RNAcentral
AUUGAACGCUGGCGGCAUGCCUUACACAUGCAAGUCGAACGGUAACAGGUCUUCGGAUGCUGACGAGUGGCGAACGGGUGAGUAAUACAUCGGAACGUGCCUAGUAGUGGGGGAUAACUACUCGAAAGAGUGGCUAAUACCGCAUGAGAUCUACGGAUGAAAGCAGGGGAUCGCAAGACCUUGUGCUACUAGAGCGGCCGAUGGCAGAUUAGGUAGUUGGUGGGAUAAAAGCUUACCAAGCCGACGAUCUGUAGCUGGUCUGAGAGGACGAUCAGCCACACUGGGACUGAGACACGGCCCAGACUCCUGCGGGAGGCAGCAGUGGGGAAUUUUGGACAAUAGGCGCAAGCCUGAUCCAGCAAUGCCGCGUGCAGGAUGAAGGCCUUCGAGUUGUAAACUGCUUUUGUACGGAACGAAAAGCCCCGGGUUAAUACCCUGGGGUCAUGACGGUACCGUAAGAAUAAGCACCGGCUAACUACGUGCCAGCCGCCGCGGUAA